GACGAACCGUGCGAACGUUAUUCGGAAUCACUGGGCUUAAAGGGCGCGUAGGCGGGCUCGCCAGUCAGGGGUGAAAGCCUCCAGCUCAACUGGAGAAGUGCCUUUGAUACUGCGAGUCUCGAGGGAGGUAGGGGCGUGCGGAACUUCCGGUGGAGCGGUGAAAUGCGUAGAUAUCGGAAGGAACACCGGUGGCGAAAGCGGCGCGCUGGACCUCUUCUGACGCUGAGGCGCGAAAGCCAGGGGAGCAAACGGG
This 253-nucleotide ribosomal RNA is filed under the name uncultured bacterium. RNAcentral's name for it is "partial 16S ribosomal RNA". It matches the Rfam family "Bacterial small subunit ribosomal RNA", at positions 524 to 776 of the family's 1533-position model. The record is from RNAcentral.